UACAGAGGGUGCAAACGUUGUUCGGAAUUACUGGGCGUAAAGCGCGUGCAGGCGGCCUUGCAAGUCGGACGUGAAAUCCCACGGCUCAACCGUGGAAGUGCAUUCGAAACUGCGAGGCUGGAGUCCUGGAGAGGAAAGUGGAAUACUCGGUGUAGAGGUGAAAUUCGUAGAUAUCGGAAGGAACAUCAGUGGCGAAAGCGACUUCCUGGACCAGUACCGACGUUCAGGCACGAAAGCGUGGGGAGCAAACAGG
Molecule: ribosomal RNA, 253 nt
Filed under: uncultured bacterium
Lineage: Bacteria
Description: partial 16S ribosomal RNA
Rfam family: Bacterial small subunit ribosomal RNA
Source: RNAcentral